This 71-nucleotide transfer RNA is filed under the name Sphaerodactylus townsendi. RNAcentral describes it as "tRNA-Ala". It matches the Rfam family "tRNA". Rfam says of the family: Transfer RNA (tRNA) molecules are approximately 80 nucleotides in length. Their secondary structure includes four short double-helical elements and three loops (D, anti-codon, and T loops). Further hydrogen bonds mediate the characteristic L-shaped molecular structure. tRNAs have two regions of fundamental functional importance: the anti-codon, which is responsible for specific mRNA codon recognition, and the 3' end, to which the tRNAs corresponding amino acid is attached (by aminoacyl-tRNA synthetases). tRNAs cope with the degeneracy of the genetic code in two manners: having more than one tRNA (with a specific anti-codon) for a particular amino acid; and 'wobble' base-pairing, i.e. permitting non-standard base-pairing at the 3rd anti-codon position. Lineage: Eukaryota; Metazoa; Chordata; Lepidosauria; Squamata; Sphaerodactylidae. The record is from RNAcentral.
GGAGUUGUGGCUCAGUGCCAGAGCAUCUGCUCUGCAUGCAAAAGACCCAGGUACAACCCGUGGCAUUUCCA